GUGCCAGCAGCCGCGGUAAGACGGAGGGGGCAAGCGUUGUCCGGACUUACUGGGCGUAAAGCGCACGUAGGCGGCUCGAUGCGUCGGUGCUGAAAGCGCCAGGCUUAACCUGGCGAGGCGUGCCGAUACGAUCGGGCUUGAGGCAGGCAGAGGGUGGCGGAAUUCCGGGUGUAGUGGUGAAAUGCGUAGAGAUCCGGAGGAACGCCUGUGGCGCAAGCGGCCACCUGGGCCUGUCCUGACGCUGAGGUGCGAAAGCGUGGGGAGCGAACCGGAUUAGAAACCCCAGUAGUCC
This 292-nucleotide ribosomal RNA is filed under the name uncultured bacterium. RNAcentral's name for it is "partial 16S ribosomal RNA". It matches the Rfam family "Bacterial small subunit ribosomal RNA", at positions 505 to 796 of the family's 1533-position model. The record is from RNAcentral.